UAUGAUUGCUGUUUCCAGGUAGAUGAAUAACAAUUAUGUAGAAGAGGAAUAGAUUUUUUUUUCUGCUUUAUCCCACGAGGAAGAACUAGAAAUAAUAGAUGGAAGAUGAAGAUUAUUGAAGAAAUGGAGAAUUAAAGCAAUCCACUGCAGAUUUCAGCCACAUAAUUGCUAUCCAAAUAUUACACUUACAAUAGUUACAGAAAUAAUAGAGAAGGUGGAAGAAUACCAAUUCAGAAGCCACUUAAAUAAUUCACAUCAUAAAAAUAGCUCUGCUAAAAGCUUUGCUGAGGCUCCUGCUUUCUGCUUUUCAGCUACAGACCAAAGAUGAUUCUAAAUAAAGAACAAUUUCA
Molecule: long non-coding RNA, 350 nt
Filed under: Monodelphis domestica (gray short-tailed opossum)
Lineage: Eukaryota; Metazoa; Chordata; Mammalia; Didelphimorphia; Didelphidae
Description: lncRNA (ENSMODG00000038077.1)
Source: RNAcentral